RNAcentral lists this ribosomal RNA (301 nucleotides) under uncultured bacterium. RNAcentral describes it as "partial 16S ribosomal RNA". It matches the Rfam family "Bacterial small subunit ribosomal RNA", at positions 509 to 808 of the family's 1533-position model. The record is from RNAcentral.
CAGUCGCCGCGGUAAUACGUAGGUCCCGAGCGUUGUCCGGAUUUAUUGGGCGUAAAGCGAGCGCAGGCGGUUUGAUAAGUCUGAAGUUAAAGGCUGUGGCUCAACCAUAGUUCGCUUUGGAAACUGCCAAACUUGAGUGCAGAAGGGGAGAGUGGAAUCCCAUGUGUAGCGGUGGAAUGCGUAGAUAUAUGGAGGAACACCGGUGGCGAAAGCGGCUCUCUGGUCUGUAACUGACGCUGAGGCUCGAAAGCGUGGGGAGCGAACAGGAUUAGAUACCCCCGUAGUCCCUGUCUCUUAUACC